UGCGGGGGCGGCGCAGUUGCGAAACUGAUGCCUGUGUAGAUCAUCCUAGAAUACCUGUGUGGUGCUGUCCUUCCUCAAGACUACCUCAUUCUCACUGGCUCGGAGACUCCUGCCUGCUGAGUGACUACACAGACUUAGUCUUCUCCACUCCGUGUUCCUGCAGCUAGAGACAUGACCUAACACCCUGAUGACCACUCUCAGGGACCUUGAGUGACUGGCCGGUGCACCAUGGAACUUAAAGUAUGGGUGGAUGGAGUUCAG
Molecule: long non-coding RNA, 261 nt
Filed under: Homo sapiens (human)
Lineage: Eukaryota; Metazoa; Chordata; Mammalia; Primates; Hominidae
Description: HSALNT0186919
Source: RNAcentral